Molecule: long non-coding RNA, 2474 nt
Filed under: Malus domestica (apple)
Lineage: Eukaryota; Viridiplantae; Streptophyta; Magnoliopsida; Rosales; Rosaceae
Description: long non-coding RNA (MDOM_LNC005325)
Source: RNAcentral
CAACCACUUGAAAUCUACUAUUUUUUUCAACUUGGAAUAUUUGGUCCUGUUCAUGUUGUGUCUAUCUUCUUGUGUCUUGAGAUAGCCCACAUAUUUUACUGAAAUUAUUAUAUUUUUUUUCUUUGAAAAACGAUCAGUAAUUUUGUCACGACAAUUCACAUUUUCGGAGGUCAAAAAAAUUCAUAGAGACAUUUGAGUCUCUUUCUCUUGUCCACUGUCGUAUGAUUCACACACACCUAAAAUCGAAUUCACGAUGUGCCAUGUAAAAUAGAGCUUGGCAUUCAUUCCUAGUCACUGGGUUAUUCCAUAAUAGUUAAUUUAUUAAGGUAUCUUAUUUUGGUGAAAAGAGAAUUUAUUAAGGUAGGGGAGGAGAGGGAGGGAAUAAUGCAUAUAAUAAUAUAGAUUAGCAUGAAUCAUAAUACAUUAUGAAUUAUGAUCGUGUGGGCACACGCGCGCGUGUGGGAGCCGAGCCCAUAUUCCAAUCCAAUGUCAAAAAGGGGAACGAGGAAAUCUAUAGAGAGGAAUUGCGCGGGACCCACAAAUCUAAGAGGUGAGCUGUUGCUUUGACACCUAUCGCUUUUCCUCCUUUCCCCCACAAUCACUCACUUUCUCCAGAGAGAGAGAGAGAGAGAGAGAGGAGAGCGAUGGACUGUUGGCUUGAGAAAAAUAAUUUUUAGUUGAUUAUUUAUUAACUUAUUUUAUACAAAUCAAGUGUUUUGUUUUUUAUUUUUUAUUUUACAACAAAAAAGUGUUUCAUUUUUUGCUUGUAAAUAGUAUGGAACUGUGGAGGUAUGCGACAACGUGACAUUAGUUAUCUUUCCAUUCAAUUAUGGCUUUGGAGAUGAGUAAAAAGUGCAAUCACACAAAGAUUUAAAUUUGAAGAAGUCCUAAAAAAAUUUAUCAUCUAGUAUUUAUAUUUAAUAAUGUUCUGUAACAAAAAAAAUUAUUUUUUGUUAGCACUUUAAAAUUUCAUUGAGCAUUUCUCAUAAUUGUAAAUUUUCUAUUUCUAAAUAUAAAUCUGAAGUGCAAUGGGAAAUAUUUGAAGUUUCAAUGACAGCAUCCUAAACAUGAUUUUCAUUAAUUUUAUUAUAGAUAAUAUUGCUAUAUAUUUAAGUGAAACUGUAAAGCAAGAGUUUUUUAAGCUUUUAUGAUUUUCAUAGUUUGGUUGUUUAAGAUUGAAGUGAUUUUGAUUAUUUAGUAAAUGUUAUGUUUGUGGCUAUUUUUACUUAAUAUUUAAUGAUAUUUGCAAAUUUAUAAUCAGUGAGUCAUUAAAUUUGUUUUGAUUUAAUUUCUUGCUUUUUAUCAUCAAUAUAUUGUUCUACUUUAAAAAAAAUCAUCUUUAUAAAUUUAGCACAUGACUCUCAAAAUCUCAUAAAAGACCUUGGUCUUCUUUUAUUAUUCUUUUAUCCUCGUGAUUUGCCCUCUAUGGAUUUUUUAUUCUUUUAUCCUCAUUAUUUUUAUGAGUAAUCCUAGGUAGAUCAAGUUUUUAAAAUCAAAUUUGCAUACUAAAUGAUUUGAUUGUAGAUAAUUGGAUUAUUAAUUAAGUGUCGAUUAACGUAUGUGUUUCUUAUUGGUAACACGUCAUUUGGUUUAAAAAAUUUGAUCUCGCUAGCAUUACUUUAUUUUUGUUAUUCUCAACAGAAUUUCAAGAUAUUCUGCUUUGAAAUUUUUGGAGUCAUUUAUCUAUAAAGUAUAUGUUGUAUAUAACCACUGAAUGUGAGAUGAAGAAUCAUAGGAAAUCAAGCGAGUGUACAUGAGUCACUUAAAAGACAAUACAUACUGUAGGAAGAUACACAAAAGACGGACUCGUUAUGCUUUCCAGCGAAUUAUAGCAAGUUUCUUUCAAUUUUGAUUCCGCUGCUUUCCGGAUUCUAACCCUCUCUUUCUAACCUAAUUUUGAAAAAAAAUAACUGCUCUAAUAUUAUCAUAAAAGAGGCAGGACCCACGAAUUUGUUGGGGUGUGAUCUACCUGCAAGACACCUUUGGAUCUUAAAAUUUUGCAACUCUGGCCAUACAAUUAGGUCGUUAAUUCGGCCGACUCAAAGGGACCCUACUGAAAUCGUAUCCAUCGUCCUCCAUAUUCUGGAGAAAAAUAUCGAUUUCUGUUUAUAUAUAAUGCAGUUGAUAAGUAACAUGAACAUGAGUCGGUGGUGCUUCUGUUGUACAAUUUUUUUAAAACUUUUCGUACUCAUGAUUUGACUGUUAGAUAGGUGGGUGGUACUUAGGUUUUCAGAUUGAUGGCAACUAGUAUACAGGUGCUUUGCUUCAAAUUCUACACCAUAAUUCAAUACAAUCAUAGUGUUAGGUUUCGAAAUUCUUUUUAUUAGUUUCGCUUUCCAGUAAGAGGGUCGUUUUCUUUGAUAAAUCACUACUUAGUUUGAGUCCUAAUGCUUACAAUAUUUUUUGGUGAAAAAUCUGUAAAAAUAAAAUUAAAAAGUACCAUUUUUCUAAGUCUUCAAAGAGACUUGUGGUAU